AGCGAACGCUGGCGGCAGGCCUAACACAUGCAAGUCGAACGAACCUUUCGGGGUUAGUGGCGGACGGGGGAGGAACACGUGGGAACGUGCCUUUAGGUUCGGAAUAACUCAGGGAAACUUGUGCUAAUACCGAAUGGGCCCUUCGGGGGAAAGAUUUAUCGCCUUUAGAGCGGCCCGCGUCUGAUUAGCUAGUUGGGUGAGGUAAUGGCUCACCAAGGCGACGAUCAGUAGCUGGUCUGAGAGGAUGAUCAGCCACAUUGGGACUGAGACACGGCCCAAACUCCGACGGGAGGGAGCAGUGGGGAAUCUUGCGCAAUGGGCGAAAGCCUGACGCAGCCAUGCCGCGUGAAUGAUGAAGGUCUUAGGAUUGUAAAAUUCUUUCACCGGGGACGAUAAUGACGGUACCCGGAGAAGAAGCCCCGGCUAACUUCGUG
This 434-nucleotide ribosomal RNA is filed under the name uncultured bacterium. RNAcentral's name for it is "partial 16S ribosomal RNA". It matches the Rfam family "Bacterial small subunit ribosomal RNA", at positions 29 to 507 of the family's 1533-position model. The record is from RNAcentral.